This 301-nucleotide ribosomal RNA is filed under the name uncultured bacterium. RNAcentral's name for it is "partial 16S ribosomal RNA". It matches the Rfam family "Bacterial small subunit ribosomal RNA", at positions 509 to 809 of the family's 1533-position model. The record is from RNAcentral.
CAGUCGCCACGGUAAUACGUAGGGCGCAAGCGUUAUCCGGAAUUAUUGGGCGUAAAGAGCUCGUAGGCGGUUUGUCGCGUCUGCCGUGAAAGUCCGGGGCUCAACCCCGGAUCUGCGGUGGGUACGGGCAGACUAGAGUGAUGUAGGGGAGACUGGAAUUCCUGGUGUAGCGGUGAAAUGCGCAGAUAUCAGGAGGAACACCGAUGGCGAAGGCAGGUCUCUGGGCAUUAACUGACGCUGAGGAGCGAAAGCAUGGGGAGCGAACAGGAUUAGAGACCCCCGUAGUCCCUGUCUCUUAUAA